This 730-nucleotide long non-coding RNA is filed under the name Prunus dulcis (almond). RNAcentral's name for it is "sRNA ncRNA". The record is from RNAcentral. Lineage: Eukaryota; Viridiplantae; Streptophyta; Magnoliopsida; Rosales; Rosaceae.
CCUUAUCCUUGGUAGUUUUGCAGUUAAUAAAUUAGAAGAAGAUGGUUCGGGAAACAGAUAGGUAUAAGGCCCCGAGCAAGGUUCCCUACACAAAGGAGCAGAUAAGGGACGUCUUCAAACGUCAUGAGACGAAUGGAGAUGGUCAACUUUCCAAAGAAGAGCUGGCCGCAGCCUUUGACGAACUUGGCGCGAAAUGGCCUCCUUUUAGAGCUUGGUUUGCUCGACAGUAUGCAGAUGACAACGGCGAUGGCUUCAUUUCUAUAGACAAUGAGCUCAGCAAGCUCGUCGAGUAUACCCUAGAAUUGAACUAUAAACUUCAUUAAGUAUAGUAUUAAUUAGUGGGUAACUAGUUCUUGUAUCUACUUGCUAUAGAUAUAUUCUCAGCAAGCUCAUUGACUAUACCUCAAUUGAAGCUCUCUAUGUAUGUAAUCGUAGUGAUGGAGCUAGACUUAGUAUCUUAGUGGCCACAUCCACUUCAAGUUUGAAGCUCUCUAUGUAUGUAAUCGUAGUGAUGGAGCUAGACUUAGUAUCUUAGUGGCCACAUCCACUUCAAGUUUGUAUGCAACUCCGUCCGUGUGUAAGCGUCUUUAAUUACUUGUAAGCAGCCGUAGUACCUAUAUAUGUGUGCAAGGUUGAGGGAACGCAAGAGGUGACCUUUUGUUUCCCUCGUUACUAGGGAAGAUGAAUUUGAACCCUGUAUGUAUAAUAUAUAGUGAUUAACAAGAAUAAA